Doryrhamphus excisus (bluestripe pipefish) is the source of this 717-nucleotide non-coding RNA. Lineage: Eukaryota; Metazoa; Chordata; Actinopteri; Syngnathiformes; Syngnathidae. The record is from RefSeq and is a predicted model, not a curated record.
AGUUAGUCCGCAUUAGCGGCGUGUUUUCCUUGAGUGGACGCCGCGCUGCAUUGGAGGCUAACGGGAGCGCGAGUCUGUUCGUGACAAAGACAAACCCGAACAAGUCUCUAUUCGAGUUUAGACUCCCCUCUCCUGGUUUCGUACGCCACACAGUUCGCGAGCUCAACCCGAACGGCUGUAUGAAGAGUGUUUACCUUUCUCGGCGACUCGGCUUUUACAGUUGGGCUCGAAGUGAUUUCUGCUCCUCAGCCCGCUCACCUCCGCCAUCUUGGAACUCAGCUAACAGCCGUGCUGACGUCACAGCAUGCAUUUGUGUCCCGCCGCCGGGGUUCGCCAUGCACCUAACGCUGCUUGUUUUUGUCGCUUGAAAAAGAACAUUUAAACUCAACAUAUUUUCAUUCACAUCAAAGACGACGGAAGGUGUCACCUUAGCAACUUUAACCCUUCACGGAUGAUUCUUUCAACUCUUACAGUCUGUCCCGACCCGGGAUGGCCCCCGAGGGGUGGGAAUGUUCCACUGUGCAGCCGGCCAUGACAAGCCCAUGUUGGGCCGGGCCUCCGCACUCCAUUCCACGAGGGACGUGAUUGACAGGUCUCACUGAGACCCUCAGGUGCCGCUGUGAAAGGUGGGAGUGGGGGUCAACAGAGCAGCAGUUCACUUCUACUCAUUAAUCAUCAGACUGGACAGCCACAGACGGGAGACUCUGGAGGUGGAUA